RNAcentral lists this ribosomal RNA (460 nucleotides) under uncultured bacterium. Its description in RNAcentral is "partial 16S ribosomal RNA". It matches the Rfam family "Bacterial small subunit ribosomal RNA", at positions 338 to 795 of the family's 1533-position model. The record is from RNAcentral.
CCUACGGGUGGCUGCAGUGAGGAAUAUUGGUCAAUGGGCGUAAGCCUGAACCAGCCAAGUCGCGUGAGGGAUGAAGGUUCUAUGGAUCGUAAACCUCUUUUAUAAGGGAAUAAAGUGUGGGACGUGUCCUAUUUUGUAUGUACCUUAUGAAUAAGGAUCGGCUAACUCCGUGCCAGCAUCCGCGGUAAUACGGAGGAUCUGAGCGUUAUCCGGAUUUAUUGGGUUUAAAGGGUGCGUAGGCGGCAUUUUAAGUCAGCGGUGAAAGUCUGUGGCUGAACCAUAGAAUUGCCGUUGAAACUGGGGGGCUGGAGUAUGUUGGAGGCAGGCGGAAUGCGUGGUGUAGCGGUGAAAUGCUUAGAUAUCACGCAGAACCCCGAUGGCGAAGGCAGCCUGCCAAGCCAUGACUGACGCUGAUGCACGAAAGCGUGGGGAUCAAACAGGAUUAGAUACCCCGGUAGUC